GCAAAUCUUCUUCUUCAUCCUCCAAUCCGUCCAUCCACUUCUUUCUCAACUGGUUUGAGAGAUCUUCAUUAUAUUCUCCUAAUUCACGGAUUUGAGCUUCCAGUUUCAAGAUCUGGACAUCCCAAAGUUCUAAUUGUUGUUGCUGCUGACUCAUCCAUUCUAGAACAUCUUUAAUUGAUACUUGCGACUGGCUCUUCACUCUUAAUUCUUAACUAGAACUACUACUCUCAAAAACACAAGAAAUACAAAAAAAUGGCAC
Molecule: long non-coding RNA, 259 nt
Filed under: Physcomitrium patens
Lineage: Eukaryota; Viridiplantae; Streptophyta; Bryopsida; Funariales; Funariaceae
Description: long non-coding RNA (PPAT_LNC014933)
Source: RNAcentral